RNAcentral lists this ribosomal RNA (465 nucleotides) under uncultured bacterium. Its description in RNAcentral is "partial 16S ribosomal RNA". It matches the Rfam family "Bacterial small subunit ribosomal RNA", at positions 338 to 795 of the family's 1533-position model. The record is from RNAcentral.
CCUACGGGCGGCAGCAGUGGGGAAUAUUGCGCAAUGGGCGAAAGCCUGACGCAGCGACGCCGCGUGAGGGAUGAAGGUCUUCGGAUCGUUAACCUCUGUCAGCAGGGAAGAACGGUCACUGUGCUAAUCAGCAGUGAAUUGACAGUACCUGCAAAGGAAGCACCGACUAACUCCGUGCCAGCAGCCGCGGGAAUACGGAGGGUGCGAGCGUUAAUCGGAAUUACUGGGCGUAAAGCGCUCGUAGGCGGUAUGUCAAGUCAAGGGUGAAAUCCCCGCGCUCAACGUGGGAACUGCCUUUGAAACUGGCAAACUGGAGUGUGUGAGAGGAUAGUGGAAUGCCAGGUGUAGGAGUGAAAUCCGUAGAUAUCUGGAGGAACAUCAGUGGCGAAGGCGACUAUCUGGCACAUAACUGACGCUGAGGAGCGAAAGCGUGGGUAGCAAACAGGAUUAGAUACCCGAGUAGUC